UACGGAGGGUGCAAGCGUUAUCCGGAUUUACUGGGUUUAAAGGGUGCGUAGGUGGGUAGGUAAGUCAGUAGUGAAAUCUUCGAGCUUAACUCGGAAACUGCCAUUGAUACUAUUUAUCUUGAAUACUCUGGAGGUAAGCGGAAUAUGUCAUGUAGCGGUGAAAUGCUUAGAUAUGACAUAGAACACCAAUUGCGAAGGCAGCUUACUACAUAGUUAUUGACACUGAGGCACGAAAGCGUGGGGAGCAAACAGG
RNAcentral lists this ribosomal RNA (253 nucleotides) under uncultured bacterium. RNAcentral describes it as "partial 16S ribosomal RNA". It matches the Rfam family "Bacterial small subunit ribosomal RNA", at positions 524 to 776 of the family's 1533-position model. The record is from RNAcentral.